RNAcentral lists this ribosomal RNA (253 nucleotides) under uncultured bacterium. Its description in RNAcentral is "partial 16S ribosomal RNA". It matches the Rfam family "Bacterial small subunit ribosomal RNA", at positions 524 to 776 of the family's 1533-position model. The record is from RNAcentral.
UACGAAGGUCCCGAGCGUUGUUCGGAAUCACUGGGCGUAAAGGGAGCGUAGGCGGCGCGGUAAGUCAGAUGUGAAAUCCCGGGGCUCAACUCCGGAACUGCAUCCGAUACUGCCGUGCUAGAGGAUUGGAGAGGUAGCUGGAAUUCUUGGUGUAGCAGUGAAAUGCGUAGAGAUCAAGAGGAACACUCGUGGCGAAGGCAGGCUACUGGACAAUAUCUGACGCUGAGGCUCGAAAGCGAGGGUAGCAAAAGGG